UGCUACGUGUCCAUAAUCGUGGGGCUGCUGGCGUCCCCGGCGUCCUCCUCCAUCAUGUCCUGGCCGAGCUCUGGAACAUCUGUCUCCCCAUCCCUUUGCUUAAAUACUGCUGCUGUAAUCCCUGCUGUUCUCAAGUUUUAGUUGCUUCACUUGGUGUCUUAGCGGUUCGUGUUUGUAAGUCUAAGCUCCUCUUCCCAGCCACCAACUCGAUCUGCCCUAGUCUUCCCAUCUCCUACUUAAGUCAUGGUCCAGUAGGCCGUGCAGUCCUAGAGCUCGAGUGAUCUCCUUGGCUGUUGUAGCCUAUGUUUCCCCGGAGUUAAUCCCCUCCCAAUAUCUUGGUCCAUCUGCCCAGAGCUUGGUGUACCAGUCCCUAGGUGGUGACCAUCGUCGGCAGUUAGUCCACCUCGUCGUGACCAGGUAACUUCAAGGGUUUCCUCAGUCGAGUUGUGCAUAUUUUAUGCUCUGCAUAAGAUAGAGAAGCUCAUAUGAUGGUAAACCAUUCUCCUUAAGUAGGUUUGGUUUGGGGGUGUGUAUGGAAAAUAGAGUGAAAGCUGCCCAAAAAUGAACUGUGAGUUUGCACUGACUGAAUUUUUGUUCAGAUUAGCUGAAAACUGGAUUGCAGCAGAUUGCUCAGUUUGGAGCUCUCCUAUGACCAGUUCAUGAGGUUUUGGGUUACCAGUUGUAUAGAAAAGUCAAAGACCAGAUGAAGGUGAACAAGCUUCAUCAGAGGAGUGGGGCUUACUACUGUGUAAAAUAUGGAGAAAUAUGUGCUGCAAUUUUCUAUGUCAUGUGUUGUGUUCAGGUCUUUUUCAAUUAGCUAAAAUUUAGCCUUUGCGUUUCCACCUCAAGUUUGGUGCUAUGUAACUUGAGAUCUGUUUAGGGUUAGCUAGUAGCUGUUGUAACAAAGAUGGAGAGAGAUUAUAGAGGAACCAUUCAUAGUAAGGAAAUACAUUGAGCCCUCAUAUGGAAUUGCGAGAAAAUAGUGUUACAAAACCCUCUGUCAGACUUGGAGUGGGUUGUUUCAGCUAACUGAAAACCUGUUCAGGGUGUUGUUUAGUCAACUUUGGAGCUCUGUGGUAAUUAAUAAAACCAGAAUUGGGUUAAG
Molecule: long non-coding RNA, 1105 nt
Filed under: Zea mays
Lineage: Eukaryota; Viridiplantae; Streptophyta; Magnoliopsida; Poales; Poaceae
Description: long non-coding RNA (ZMAY_LNC004183)
Source: RNAcentral